CCUGAGAAACCUAAAAGUUCGAAAGGAGAGAUUCAAUGUCAGUUUGUAUUGUAUUCACGUGAGUAGAGAUGUGAGAUUUUAUUAUAAGAGUCAAAUCUUUUAAUGAUACUUGCACUUUUUCAUGUUUUUUUAUUGCAAUACUAUAGCCGGCGUGCACUUCUCUCCUAGUAGAACGUCCCGACCCGUUGAGUCUUGGCCUACGGCACAGAUGGUUGCCUUUAAUACAGCGGUAUUAAAGACCUCUGAUGUACUCCUGGCUGAAGUGCUCGACGGUAGUUAAUGAUAUGGUAUUAAGCCGCAAAUUUAUUUGUGCGUCUGGCCUGUCGCAACAUUAGUGACAUUUUCCGUAUAUCAUAGACUUUGUUCUAAGAUUAUGGUGUGUUGUUUUGCUUGGCAGUGUUCUUAGACUGGCUUUCAUAUACCUGUCGGGGACGCUUAGGCUUUGGGUACUCUCAGGACCCGUCUUGAAACACGGACCAAGGAGUCUAACAUGUACGCGAGUCAUUGGGUAUAUAUUUUUCUUCGGAAAUUUAUAUAAAACAAACCUAAAGGCGUAAUGAAAGUAAAAGUUAAACCUUGUGUUUAACUUAGGGAUGAUGAGUUAUCCUAGGAUAAUUCCGCAAUCCCAGGGCGUCUUAAUCUCUUCGAGAUGA
This 653-nucleotide ribosomal RNA is filed under the name Austroearinus melanopodes. RNAcentral describes it as "eukaryotic LSU rRNA". It matches the Rfam family "Eukaryotic large subunit ribosomal RNA", at positions 386 to 788 of the family's 3401-position model. Lineage: Eukaryota; Metazoa; Arthropoda; Insecta; Hymenoptera; Braconidae. The record is from RNAcentral.